UCUGACGACCAUAGCUGCCUGGUCCCACCCCUUCCCAUCCCGAACAGGACCGUGAAACAGGUACGCGCCGAUGAUAGUGAGAUUCGCUCUCGUGAAAGUAGGUCAUCGUCAGAC
This 114-nucleotide ribosomal RNA is filed under the name Azoarcus sp. The record is from RNAcentral. Lineage: Bacteria; Pseudomonadati; Pseudomonadota; Betaproteobacteria; Rhodocyclales; Zoogloeaceae.